This 933-nucleotide ribosomal RNA is filed under the name uncultured bacterium. Its description in RNAcentral is "bacterial SSU rRNA". It matches the Rfam family "Bacterial small subunit ribosomal RNA", at positions 8 to 916 of the family's 1533-position model. The record is from RNAcentral.
AGAGUUUGAUCCUGGCUCAGAACGAACGCUGGCGGCGUGCUUAACACAUGCAAGUCGAACGAGAAAGUUCUCUUCGGAGAGCGAGUAGAGUGGCGCACGGGUGAGUAACGCGUAGGUAAUCUACCCUUAUACCUGGGAUAACAUUGGGAAACUGGUGCUAAUACCGGAUACACUUUACUGCUGCGGGGCAGUAGAGGAAAGGUGACCUCUUGGUCAAAGUUACCGUAUAGGGAUGAGCCUGCGUACCAUUAGCUAGUAGGUGGGGUAACGGCCCACCUAGGCGACGAUGGUUAGCGGGUCUGAGAGGAUGAUCCGCCACACUGGAACUGGAACACGGACCAGACUCCUACGGGAGGCAGCAGUGAGGAAUAUUGCGCAAUGGGGGAAACCCUGACGCAGCGACGCCGCGUGAGUGAGGAAGGCCUUCGGGUCGUAAAGCUCUGUCAGAAGGGAAGAAGUGUUAUACGGUUAAUACCCGUAUAAUUUGACGGUACCUUCAGAGGAAGCACCGGCUAACUCCGUGCCAGCAGCCGCGGUAAUACGGAGGGUGCGAGCGUUGUUCGGAAUUACUGGGCGUAAAGGGCGCGUAGGCGGCUUUAUAAGUCAGAUGUGAAAGCCCACGGCUUAACUGUGGAAGUGCAUUUGAAACUGUGAAGCUUGAGUAUCGGAGGGGAGUGUGGAAUUCCCGGUGUAGAGGUGAAAUUCGUAGAGAUCGGGAGGAACACCGGUGGCGAAGGCGACACUCUGGACGAAUACUGACGCUGAGGCGCGAAAGCGUGGGGAGCAAACAGGAUUAGAUACCCUGGUAGUCCACGCCGUAAACGAUGAGUGCUAGGUGUCGCGGGUAUUGACCCCUGCGGUGCCAAAGUUAACGCGCUAAGCACUCCGCCUGGGGAGUACGGCCGCAAGGCUAAAACUCAAAGGAAUUGACGG